RNAcentral lists this ribosomal RNA (406 nucleotides) under uncultured bacterium. RNAcentral describes it as "partial 16S ribosomal RNA". It matches the Rfam family "Bacterial small subunit ribosomal RNA", at positions 30 to 526 of the family's 1533-position model. The record is from RNAcentral.
AUUGAACGCUGGCGGCAGGCCUAACACAUGCAAGUCGAACGAGUGGCGGACGGGUGAGUAAUGUCUGGGAAACUGCACGAUGGAGGGGGAUAACGACUGGAAACAGUAGCUAAUACCGCAUAACAGCGGAUGUGCCCAGAUGGGAUUAGCGAGUAGGUGGGGUAAAGGCUCACCUAGGCGACGAUCCCUAGCUGGUAUGAGAGGAUGACCAUCCACACUGGAACGUAGACACGGUCCAGACUCCUACGGGAGGCAGCAGUGGUGAAUAUUGCACAAUGGGCGCAAGCCUGAUGCAGCCAUGCCGCGUGUAUGAAGACGGCCUUCGGGUUGUAAAGUACUUUCAGCGAGGAGGCGGUACUCGCAGAAGAAGCACCGGCUAACUCCGUGCCAGCCGCCGCGGUAAUAG